Molecule: ribosomal RNA, 253 nt
Filed under: uncultured bacterium
Lineage: Bacteria
Description: partial 16S ribosomal RNA
Rfam family: Bacterial small subunit ribosomal RNA
Source: RNAcentral
UACGUAGGUGGCAAGCGUUGUCCGGAUUUACUGGGCGUAAAGAGCGCGCAGGCGGUCGUUCAAGUCGCGUGUGAAAGCCCCCGGCUCAACUGGGGAGGGUCACGCGAUACUGAUCGACUCGAAGGCAGGAGAGGGUAGUGGAAUUCCCGGUGUAGUGGUGAAAUGCGUAGAUAUUGGGAGGAACACCAGUGGCGAAGGCGGCUCACUGGACUGGUACUGACGCUGAGGCGCGAAAGCGUGGGGAGCAAACGGG